Alosa sapidissima (American shad) is the source of this 430-nucleotide long non-coding RNA. RefSeq lists it as uncharacterized. Lineage: Eukaryota; Metazoa; Chordata; Actinopteri; Clupeiformes; Clupeidae. The record is from RefSeq and is a predicted model, not a curated record. The transcript is spliced from 3 exons.
CUGUGUGUGUACGUCAGGGAGAACGUGGAUUCUGGGUGUGGGUUUUUUGUGCGAGGCAUGACUAAAUACUGGUUUCCCAUCAAGUCACCCCACCUAUAUAUAUAUAAAUCUAUAUCACACAGACAAACAGAGAAUCAUUUCACAGGUUCACCAUCAGUAGAAUCACCACGAUUCAACUGACAGAGUUCCCUGAGGACUUAACUGAAAUUGGGCUAACUACAAUUGGGAUCGGCCAUCUGCAUACUAGGAUCAUAUCCUUCAACUAAGGAAAUGUGGGGGAAAAUCACUGCUAUGGUCAUUGUGAUUCUUGCAUUCGCUGCAAUUGGAGCUACACAGUCAAAUACUCUAGGAACAACAAGACUAACAACAAAUGAAGCGACACAAUCAACCACAAAAGCAGCAACACAAUCAACCACAAAUGAAACCCAUC